AAACGUAUAAGGUGUCAAACCUUUAACAAUAUAGGUUACUCAACUUCCUUCAUUUAUUUAAAAAUAAUAGAGAAAGACUCAAAAUUGAGCCCUCCUCCCUCAAACCUCAACACAUUAUCAAUCAUCACUACCACCAUCGUGCCUCCACACAUGCCGCCACUGCCACCUUUACCGCCACUUCAGUCACCACCUUCUCACCACUUUAUUUUUGGUAAAGUUUCAUGUCUUGUUAUUGAUAUUAAAGUUAGGGUUUUAUCAAUUUGGGGUUUUUGAGUUGAAUCUCAAUUGGGUUUAUAGAAUCAAGUUAGGGUUUCUGAUUUUGGAAAAAAUUAGUGAAUUGAAGUUCCAUUGGGAGAUAAUGAAGUUGAUCAUUGAAGAGGUGAUUCAUCCAUGGUUUUCAAAAAGCUUAUAUAUCAAGUUUUAAUGGAGAUUUGCUCAUAAAAGAGGUUGUUAGAAAGUCUUUUAGUUGGAAUAAUUGAAGUAGUAUCAAGAAGGAGCCAUUUUGAGGUCCAGGAAAAUAGCCAUUGAAGAACUAGCAAUUGAAGUGGAUUUUUGGUUUGUGAUUUUCAAGUUUUGUGUGACUUUGUGGAAAUUAAACUUGUUCAAAGUUUCAAAAAUUGAUGAACAUAAUGAAGUUGAAUAUGCCGAUGGAAUUACUUUACGUAAAUAUGAAGUGUUUGGGAAGAUGAAGAUAUAUCUUGUACUGAAACAGUGACUUGUCAUUGCUUAACAAUCCUACAUAACCAUUCUAUAUCUAAGAUUCCUGAGAAGUACAUAUUACCUUGUUGGACCAAGCAUGCUAAGAAGGAAGUGUAGGAGAAAAUAUUCAACGAUACAAACAAAUGUCUUGAAGACGACAACAAUGCACAUUAAAAGAUCGUAACCUUACAACGGAGGCAUGAUAUGGAUCGCAAAUUCUAUAAUCUUGUUCUUAAAACAUAACAUGAUGAAGAUGCAAGAAAGAUUGUUGAGGGUUUUUAUGCAAAGGCGUGUGACUCUUUCAAAAACUCUACAAUGCAAGAAAAUUCAAUACAAGAAUGUCAGUCACAAAAAAAUAUUGAUAAUUAUAGACAUAUUAUGCUUGAUCCUGAAAAGUCCGUAACAAAGGGGAGAAGAAAGAGAAUUAAAGGUCAUUUUGAGAAGAAAAAACAGUCAACAACAAAGAUAAACAAAGAUAAAGGAGUUUGGUUCCAUAACACCAAACAAACACAUUAUAUGAUUUAUGUUUAAAAGCUUCUUUAUGACUAUUUGAUAAUUGAUUUUUAAUGCCAAUUUACAGUAUUCU
Molecule: long non-coding RNA, 1285 nt
Organism: Amaranthus tricolor (Joseph's coat)
Lineage: Eukaryota; Viridiplantae; Streptophyta; Magnoliopsida; Caryophyllales; Amaranthaceae
Exons: 4
Source: RefSeq, a predicted model, not a curated record